Molecule: ribosomal RNA, 497 nt
Filed under: uncultured bacterium
Lineage: Bacteria
Description: partial 16S ribosomal RNA
Rfam family: Bacterial small subunit ribosomal RNA
Source: RNAcentral
GAUGAACGCUGGCGGCGUGCCUAAUACAUGCAAGUCGAGCGAACAGACGAGGAGCUUGCUCCUCUGACGUUAGCGUCGGACGGGUGAGUAACACGUGGAUAACCUACCUAUAAGACUGGGAUAACUUCGGGAAACCGGAGCUACUACCGGAUAAUAUAUUGAACCGCAUGGUUCAAUAGUGAAAGACGGUUUUGCUGUCACUUAUAGAUGGAUCCGCGCCGCAUUAGCUAGUUGGUAAGGUAACGGCUUACCAAGGCAACGAUGCGUAGCCGACCUGAGAGGGUGAUCGGCCACACUGGAACUGAGACACGGUCCAGACUCCUACGGGAGGCAGCAGUAGGGAAUCUUCCGCAAUGGGCGAAAGCCUGACGGAGCAACGCCGCGUGAGUGAUGAAGGUCUUCGGAUCGUAAAACUCUGUUAUUAGGGAAGAAAAAAUGUGUAAGUAAAUAUGCACGUCUUGACGGUACCUAAUCAGAAAGCCACGGCUAACUACGUG